GGCUUUAGAGGUCGGAUCCAGCAAAUCCGCUUCGUACACUCGAACCUUGGGCACGGAGUGGCAGUAGUAGAGUAGGUAAGGGAACAGGCUCUGAUGGCAAGACACGGACUCCGUCACCUUCCCUCCGUUCAUCCCUUUCACCGCCCCAAUCAUUAUGUUCCCCUUCGAACCCUUCGUGUUCUCCGUCGUCCGGACCACCACGUUCCUCCCCAGCACCGACGUCGCGAAGUCUAUCAUAUCUUCCACCGAACCCACGCACCGCUUCGUCUCCCCGGCGCUGGGCGCCCUCUCGCAUUCCCUUACCGUCUCCGUCAUCAUAGUC
This 322-nucleotide unclassified non-coding RNA is filed under the name Hevea brasiliensis (rubber tree). Lineage: Eukaryota; Viridiplantae; Streptophyta; Magnoliopsida; Malpighiales; Euphorbiaceae. The record is from RNAcentral.